RNAcentral lists this ribosomal RNA (467 nucleotides) under uncultured bacterium. Its description in RNAcentral is "partial 16S ribosomal RNA". It matches the Rfam family "Bacterial small subunit ribosomal RNA", at positions 28 to 507 of the family's 1533-position model. The record is from RNAcentral.
GACGAACGCUGGCGGCGUGCUUAACACAUGCAAGUCGAACGGAAAGGCCCUGCUUUUGUGGGGUGCUAGAGUGGCGAACGGGUGAGUAACACGUGAGUAACCUGCCCUUGACUUUGGGAUAACUUCAGGAAACUGGGGCUAAUACCGGAUAGGAGCUCCUGCUGCAUGGUGGGGGUUGGAAAGUUUCGGCGGUUGGGGAUGGACUCGCGGCUUAUCAGCUUGUUGGUGGGUAGUGGCUUACCAAGGCUUUGACGGGUAGCCGGCCUGAGAGGGUGACCGGCCACAUUGGGACUGAGAUACGGCCCAGACUCCUACGGGAGGCAGCAGUGGGGAAUAUUGCACAAUGGGCGGAAGCCUGAUGCAGCAACGCCGCGUGCGGGAUGACGGCCUUCGGGUUGUAAACCGCUUUCGCCUGUGACGAAGCGUGAGUGACGGUAAUGGGUAAAGAAGCACCGGCUAACUACGUG